UACGGGGGGGGGCAAGCGUUGUUCGGAAUUACUGGGCGUAAAGGGCUCGUAGGUGGCCAACUAAGUCAGACGUGAAAUCCCUCAGCUUAACUGGGGAACUGCGUCUGAUACUGGAUGGCUUGAGUUUGGGAGAGGGAUGCGGAAUUCCUGGUGUAGCGGUGAAAUGCGCAGAUAUCAGGAGGAACACCGGUGGCGAAGGCGGGUCUCUGGGCAACAACUGACGCUGGAGGAGCGAAAGCGUGGGGAGCGAACAGG
RNAcentral lists this ribosomal RNA (255 nucleotides) under uncultured bacterium. RNAcentral describes it as "partial 16S ribosomal RNA". It matches the Rfam family "Bacterial small subunit ribosomal RNA", at positions 524 to 776 of the family's 1533-position model. The record is from RNAcentral.